This 445-nucleotide ribosomal RNA is filed under the name uncultured bacterium. Its description in RNAcentral is "bacterial SSU rRNA". It matches the Rfam family "Bacterial small subunit ribosomal RNA", at positions 354 to 796 of the family's 1533-position model. The record is from RNAcentral.
GUGAGGAAUAUUGGACAAUGGGCGCAAGCCUGAUCCAGCCAUGCCGCGUGCAGGAUGAAGCAUCUAUGGUGUGUAAACUGCUUUUGUACGAGAAGAAACAUCCCGACGUGUCGGGACUUGACGGUAUCGUAAGAAUAAGGACCGGCUAACUCCGUGCCAGCAGCCGCGGUAAUACGGAGGGUCCAAGCGUUAUCCGGAAUCAUUGGGUUUAAAGGGUCCGUAGGCGGUCUUAUAAGUCAGUGGUGAAAUCUCCCCGCUCAACGGGGAAACGGCCAUUGAUACUGUAGGACUUGAAUUAUUAGGAAGUAACUAGAAUAUGUAGUGUAGCGGUGAAAUGCUUAGAGAUUACAUGGAAUACCAAUUGCGAAGGCAGGUUACUACUAAUUGAUUGACGCUGAUGGACGAAAGCGUGGGUAGCGAACAGGAUUAGAUACCCUAGUAGUCC